Molecule: long non-coding RNA, 1428 nt
Organism: Scylla paramamosain (green mud crab)
Lineage: Eukaryota; Metazoa; Arthropoda; Malacostraca; Decapoda; Portunidae
Exons: 2
Source: RefSeq, a predicted model, not a curated record
UGGGUCUUUACGUCAGGGAGAAGAAAGUCCGUCCUUCAAUGUGUUGUCCCCCACGAUGACUGCCAUGCCCUUCUUUGACAUCAUAACAUUUCUCAAGAUGUGACAGACUUGGGGACACACACACACUCACACACACACACACACACACACACACACACACACACACACACACACUGCCCUCUCUAAGGGUUUGAAGAAGAGUGACGCUGCCUUGCUGUAGGCACAGGAAGAUGCACAGCACGAGGAGGGGCCACCAGGGUCAAGGCCAUGCUGGAGCAGGCGUGCCACUUCCGCCUCCUGUCGGAAAAGAUUGAUCUUCUGUGGUGUCUAUUAAAUGGUCCAGCCUUCCAUACAUUGCAGAGCGUUAAAUCGGUUAGUUAAAGCUUAGGCGGAUAUGUGACAUGUGUGAAACGAAGUAGCUCGUUUGAUAAGAAACUGCCCGUUUAAAAGGAUGCAGUAUCUGACUCAAGCAAUCACCAUAUUCCUCUGAAGCACACAAAAGCAGUUUUGUAAGAUGUACUACUUCUCGUGAAUUUACUUUUGACCACUACAUACUUGCUAUUUAAAGACUUGAACAACCAUACGACCUAAACAAGAUAACUGGUCUUCACACGCACUUGAGCUCGCUGUUUCUACUGGGCAGGGAGAGGCGGGAGCAUAGUCACUUGGUACUGGAGCGGAAGGUAAUCAGGUCGCAUUGGCCUCAGGUCAGAUGAUCCUCAAGACAGAUCGGCCUGAGUGUAAAUAAGCCUCAGGACGUUUGGUUCUCGAAACACUUGGUACUCAAACCACUUGGUCUCUAAAAUGUCUCAGAGUGAUUGGUAAUUAGGGAAAAGUGUACCAAGUGGGAGUCAAACGGUUAAACAUCAAUUAUACAGCUUUGUGACUCGUCUCUGAUCGCCGCCACACACACACACACACACAGACACACUCAGGCAGGUGAAGCGGGUGGAAGUGCAUUGUUAUUACCUCCAUGCGCCACGGUAUCCAUAGCGCCCCUCCAAGCCUUGCCCCUCCAAGCCUUGCCCCUAGACUCGGGUGUGUAGGAGGAAGAGGAGGAGGAGGGGCAAGGAGGAGUAUGGGUACCAUUCGCCCCAGUACCAAGUGACUGCAAACCAAGAGAGCCGGGGUUGGUGGCGCGGCCCUGUAAUCCGGCGACGCGGAGGCUUGGCCCAGUGGACGGCUUGAGGCGAGGGUGGCUGCUGCGGGACUCCCCAUGUUGAGUGGGCGUCCGCACUAAGCUCGGCAUCAAUAUGGCCGCCCCUGGGGAGCCGGGGGCGUCCAGGUUGCCUAAGGAGGUGUGAACCAGGCCAGGGGGGAAACCCAGCAGCCAAAAGCACCCGUGUGGAGCAGCAGUGGGAUCGCGCCCGUGAGUGGGCGGCGCGCAGUAGCCUUGCCAACACAGGCGAACCUGGUACUUUUAUUUUA